Molecule: small nucleolar RNA, 241 nt
Organism: Hemicordylus capensis (graceful crag lizard)
Lineage: Eukaryota; Metazoa; Chordata; Lepidosauria; Squamata; Cordylidae
Product: small nucleolar RNA SNORA53
Exons: 1
Source: RefSeq, a predicted model, not a curated record
AACAUGCUCCCUUAGAUCCAUCUUUGUUGAUGCCUCUUCUGCUAGUUCUGCUUACAGCUUUGGCUUUGAGUAGUUCCAGCUAAGAGGGAUCAGCAACUUUAUGGUUGUACCGUCAAAGAUGCUUGAGUCAUUGGCAUGUGAGAAUAAUAUACCUUCACUCUAGUCUCUUACGUUCUGAUAGAAAUGGCUGUAAUAUGCAUGUCAUUUUCCGCUAUCAGGAUUUGGCUGGAGUGUGGACAUG